ACACUGUCAACUCUUAGGAGAUCCAAGAGCAGCACUUGGCUUCCAGUCCAUGGAGAACCUAGGCGACAUGUUGAGAUGCCUACAGAUGUCCCUUUCCAUCUUCACCACCACAAGUCACCUGGGCCAGAGCACCUGGACCCAUCCAUUUUGGUGUUUGGAAGCAUGAAGGCAAACACAAGCUCAGGAUUGCAGCUCCUCCUGUUAGUGGGUGCCACAGGGCUCCUUCCUCCCAGGCUCUGGGAUCACAUCUUCUCUCCAAGGAGAGCAAUGCAAAACAUCAACAUAUGAAACCUUCCAAGUGAGGAAACUCCAGACAGCACAGAAACUCCAUGAACGCAGACAGCCCCAGCUCAUCACACCUGCCAUUUUCUCCCGUCCCUGGAAUAUGGGACCCAACGGCUUGGCUCAAGUUUCAUCUUACAUAACUGCCACUCACAGGGUCCUUCUGAGAUUUUCCUGUGGGCUGUUUAGAGACUUGCAAAGAUGCUCCGUGGCCCAGCAUAUCUUAGCUGUUAUAGACUUAAUUCCAGAGCUUUGUUCCUCAGGCACAACGCAACCUUUUUCUUUGUACAGCAGAGGUCAUGUAUGCUGAGACAGAGCUUCCCUAGAUUCUGUUGCAAGAAUAAUGAGUGUUUCUCUGCAAAACCUGGGAAAAAAAAAAAAAAAAAAAAAAGAAGAAGAAGAAAAAAAAAAGAAGGAUUUCCAUGAUCCCCAUCAUCAUCUCAGUGCAAAAGGCCAACGCUCUCCGGUACAAACAAAAACAAUAAUAAUAGCAAACAAACCACUCUAUCAAACCACAGUACUCCUCUCCACUCUUAAUUCUUCCUUGGGAAAAGAUGGAGAGAAAACAAAUUAGCUUCCUGAGGGUUACCACUGCUUAAAAGGAUCUGUUGAUGAAAUCAGUAAAAGAACAUACUGAGCUUGCUCUGAAUAGGCAAGGGCUGUAGAAGAGCCUCAAGGAAAAUUCGGGCGCAGUCCGACAUUGAAGAAGUUGGGUCUAUUUCUAGUUAUCUCAGUAUUGACGUAGCUCAACCAUUGUGAGGAACAGGAAAUUCAUAAAGACUGGGUUAGUCUUUUUGGCAAGAGGCUGGCAUCUGCCAUGGGACAUUAAUCCAUUCUAAGCUGCAGUAAGCUGAGCUGCUGGGUUUGUAUUCGUGUCACUGAGACUGCUUACACUCACUGCUGGUCUAUAAACUCCUAUUAGUCUGGCUUGGCAGUGGCUUACAUCUUGAUGGAAAGAAUAGCCUAUGGAUCACGAUCAUUAAGUAAUAAUUUAUACAAAUUCUGCUAAGCGAGUCAUUUUUCCUGAGUCCGCCUUCUAAAAUAUUUUGGGGAGAGAUGAAUAAAGCAAAAGUGGGAUUUUUUUAGAGAAAGGGGACUAGAAGGUCCCAGGGCAUUUGUCAUUGUAAUAAACACAUCUGCCAGCUGAAUUGGCAGAGCUGUUAAAUUCAGUUUCUAUGAAGAGUUCCUCCAAUGCUGAGAUCUUGGAUGCCUCGCAAAAACUUUGCUCUCUGGUCAGCUGAUGCAAAAUAAAAUUAAGGAAGAAAAGUAACUGACAGCCACAGUUAGCAUCUUUGUUUUUCUGAAUAUCAGACUGUCCAAAACGUUAAUGAGAAGAGGAGGACUCAUAAGGGGUGACUUGACAGGAAUCACAUUUUAAUUUCCUUUGUGAAAUAUUGCAGGCUUCUCUCUCUCUCCAGGGAGCACCUUGCUGUUCUUGCCUGUGGGGACCACGUAUCCUCCCCGCAAAGAAAACAUAUCCCACGGUAUUUCCUUCUUUGUUCUCCCAGAUGAAACUUCCCAGACGAGCUUAAUGGGAAUCCCAUUAAAUUUUUUAAUUCGUUAAACUGGUUUUUAACUUUUCAGGCUCCUGUCGUGCCAUAACACUGACUGACAAAUGACAGGGCCCUGCUAGGUUUGUCCAGUGUGUAACGUGAGCUCCCAGGGCUGGAAGCAAUAAAACAGUUUUUUGAGAAUUGGGGUUUUGUAAGAGACACACUAGCCCUGACUUCACCACGCCCUUUGAUUUUGUUAGCUGCAGUUUGGCAAGCUAUGGUUGGGUUUCAUUAGAGUUGCUAUCAUUAGAGGCUCUCCCUUCUCAAAGGUAGGGAGGAUUUUCUGGGUGCAUCAAGGUCAUUUAAGAGCAUAUAAGCAGGAAGGGGAAUGGCUGUUUAUGAGGGUGGAUAGUGAUAGGAUAAGGGGGAAUGGUUUUAAACUGAGGCAGUGGAGGUUUAGGUUGGAUACUGGGAGGAAGUUUUUCCCCCAGAG
Long non-coding RNA from Gallus gallus (chicken), 2268 nucleotides. RefSeq lists it as uncharacterized. NCBI's taxonomy places the organism in Eukaryota, Metazoa, Chordata, Aves, Galliformes, Phasianidae. The record is from RefSeq and is a predicted model, not a curated record. The transcript has 3 exons.